CCUACGGGGGGCAGCAGUGGGGAAUAUUGGACAAUGGGGGAAACCCUGAUCCAGCAAUGCCGCGUGUGUGAAGAAGGCCUGCGGGUUGUAAAGCACUUUUGGCAGGGAAGAAAAGCACUGGCCUAAUACACCAGUGUGUUGACGUAACCUGCAGAAGAAGCACCGGCUAACUCUGUGCCAGCAGCCGCGGUAAUACAGAGGGUGCAAGCGUUAAUCGGAAUUACUGGGCGUAAAGGGCGCGUAGGCGGUCAGGUCAGUCGGAUGUGAAAUCCCCG
Molecule: ribosomal RNA, 275 nt
Filed under: uncultured bacterium
Lineage: Bacteria
Description: partial 16S ribosomal RNA
Rfam family: Bacterial small subunit ribosomal RNA
Source: RNAcentral